AUUUAGUCAAAGGUGGUAUAAAAUAUGAAUUUGAUGUACAGGGAAAGUUCUGUUCUAAAGUGUAUAGUAGUUUAAAAGCUCAGAACAUCUGAUAACUAAUUUUAAGUGGACAAAAAGUUACUGUUAAAGUAUCUUUCAGUAUGAGAACCAGUGCCUGGGCAGCAGCAUUUGAUGGAGCAGUUUCUAAAGAGCCCAGCAGGCAGUGGGACCAUGUGGCCUGGAGAAGACGCUGCUCGUUGGCCUUAGUGCUCACUCCGGAAUGCAGCUGCAUGUCCUUCCUCAGCUUGCCUCUGAGCAGCCAUUGUCAGUCAGUGCAUCGGGAGAAAAGGUGGAACCCCUUUGCCAUUCCCCUGACUGGGGAGAGAACCCCACCCCAGUCUCCUCACCAUGACCCCUGAGAUUCCCUCGGGUUCAGAUUGUGCCUUAGUGCCCUUGAGUGUCUCCCUUUUCCUGGGCUGUCCCUCUCUGCUCUGCUGGGAGGUCCUAGAUCAGUCUCUAUUCCAAGCUCCUCCAUCCCUGCGUCAUCUGGGGUUAGAUCCUUAUGGCCCCUCCCACCUGCAGCUCCAGCAUUUCUGUCCUGACAGGUUCCAGGCGGAAGAGACAAAUGAAGCUACAUCUUUAGAGCGCCUGACGUAGAAUUGGGAAUACUUAGUCCACAUCAGAGAAUGGGAAGAGUGGCCUGGAGAGUGCUGAAGAUCUCAACUGCACAGGUGUGGGAUCAGACUGACUGGGUUUGUAAGUCCCGGCUCUCCCGCUGUCAGCGAUGCGGGUCAGGCUGGUAGUUAGCUUCCAUGGCCCGGGCUCCCACAUCUGCCUGGGUCUGAGGACUGAAUAAACCCCGUAUGGAGUUCAGCAUGA
Pipistrellus kuhlii (Kuhl's pipistrelle) is the source of this 858-nucleotide long non-coding RNA. RefSeq lists it as uncharacterized. The transcript is spliced from 2 exons. Lineage: Eukaryota; Metazoa; Chordata; Mammalia; Chiroptera; Vespertilionidae. The record is from RefSeq and is a predicted model, not a curated record.